GACGAACGCUGGCGGCGUGCUUAACACAUGCAAGUCGAACGAUGAAGCCGGAGCUUGCUCUGGUGAAUUAGUGGCGGACGGGUGAGUAACACGAGAGUAACCUGCCCUUGACUCCGGGAUAACUGCGGGCAACUGUAGCUAAUACCGGAUACGACCCUCGGAGGCAUCUCCCGGGGGUGGAAAGAAUUUCGGUCAAGGAUGGACUCGCGGCCUAUCAGCUAGUUGGGGGGGUAAAGGCUCACCAAGGCGACGACGGGUAGCCGGCCUGAGAGGGUGACCGGCCACACUGGGACUGAGACACGGCCCAGACUCCUACUGGAGGCAGCAGUGGGGAAUAUUGCACAAUGGGCGCAAGCCUGAUGCAGCAACGCCGCGUGAGGGAUGACGGCCUUCGGGUUGUAAACCUCUUUUAGCAGGGAAGAAGCGAAAGUGACGGUACCUGCAGAAAAAGCACCGGCUAACUACGUGCCAGCCGCCGCCGUAA
RNAcentral lists this ribosomal RNA (484 nucleotides) under uncultured bacterium. RNAcentral's name for it is "partial 16S ribosomal RNA". It matches the Rfam family "Bacterial small subunit ribosomal RNA", at positions 28 to 523 of the family's 1533-position model. The record is from RNAcentral.